UGGGGAAUCGUACAAUGGCAGUACAUGUCUCUCUGGAAGACAGAAUCUUGGUUCGAAUCCAGGUUCCCCAG
Molecule: transfer RNA, 71 nt
Filed under: Anaerolineales bacterium
Lineage: Bacteria; Bacillati; Chloroflexota; Anaerolineae; Anaerolineales
Description: tRNA-Gln
Rfam family: tRNA
About the family: Transfer RNA (tRNA) molecules are approximately 80 nucleotides in length. Their secondary structure includes four short double-helical elements and three loops (D, anti-codon, and T loops). Further hydrogen bonds mediate the characteristic L-shaped molecular structure. tRNAs have two regions of fundamental functional importance: the anti-codon, which is responsible for specific mRNA codon recognition, and the 3' end, to which the tRNAs corresponding amino acid is attached (by aminoacyl-tRNA synthetases). tRNAs cope with the degeneracy of the genetic code in two manners: having more than one tRNA (with a specific anti-codon) for a particular amino acid; and 'wobble' base-pairing, i.e. permitting non-standard base-pairing at the 3rd anti-codon position.
Source: RNAcentral